AAGACCUUGCGCUUUUGGAGCGGCCGAUGCCUGAUUAGCUUGUUGGUAAGGUAAAAGCUUACCAAGGCUUCGAUCAGUAGCUGGUCUGAGGGGACGACCAGCCACACUGGGACUGAGACACGGCCCAGACUCCUACGGGAGGCAGCAGUGGGGAAUUUUGGACAAUGGGGGCAACCCUGAUCCAGCCAUGCCGCGUGAGUGAAGAAGGCCUUCGGGUUGUAAAGCUCUUUCAGCCGGAACGAAACGGUUACGGUUAACACCCGUGACUACUGACGGUACCGGAAGAAGAAGCACCGGCUAACUACGUGCCAGCAGCCGCGGUAAUACGUAGGGUGCGAGCGUUAAUCGGAAUUACUGGGCGUAAAGCGUGCGCAGGUGGUUUUGUAAGUCAGAUGUGAAAGCCCCGGGCUCAACCUGGGAACU
This 423-nucleotide ribosomal RNA is filed under the name uncultured bacterium. RNAcentral describes it as "bacterial SSU rRNA". It matches the Rfam family "Bacterial small subunit ribosomal RNA", at positions 207 to 622 of the family's 1533-position model. The record is from RNAcentral.